GGCUACUUUUCUAGCUUCACUGGGUAUUCAUAUCUUCUCAAUUACAGUGGUCGGUUCACUCAAAGAAUCUGUAAAGGGAUUUUUGUUUCGUGAUGUCUGACACCAACCCCUUUCCCUUGCCUUCAGAUCAAGUUGAGGAUUUCAGUCACAGUGGCUAUGUCUCACCUCUCUCAAUAAGUGGUCAACAGAAUGAGGAAUUUCCUCAGGAUGGCCAAUUUGUGCAGAGUGAUCAAUUUGUGCAGAGUGAUGUCCCUAAUGAAAGUGAUGCCGGCGCGCAUCAGGUGGAGGAUAAUAACUUGCUUUGGCCAGUUCUACCUGG
This 319-nucleotide unclassified non-coding RNA is filed under the name Hevea brasiliensis (rubber tree). Lineage: Eukaryota; Viridiplantae; Streptophyta; Magnoliopsida; Malpighiales; Euphorbiaceae. The record is from RNAcentral.